Molecule: ribosomal RNA, 445 nt
Filed under: uncultured bacterium
Lineage: Bacteria
Description: bacterial SSU rRNA
Rfam family: Bacterial small subunit ribosomal RNA
Source: RNAcentral
AACGAACGCUGGCGGCAUGCCUAACACAUGCAAGUCGAACGAGACCUUCGGGUCUAGUGGCGCACGGGUGCGUAACGCGUGGGAACCUGCCUUUAGGUUCGGAAUAACUCAGAGAAAUUUGAGCUAAUACCGGAUAAUGUCUUCGGACCAAAGAUUUAUCGCCUUUAGAUGGGCCCGCGUUGGAUUAGCUAGUUGGUGGGGUAAAGGCCUACCAAGGCGACGAUCCAUAGCUGGUCUGAGAGGAUGAUCAGCCACACUGGGACUGAGACACGGCCCAGACUCCUACGGGAGGCAGCAGUGGGGAAUAUUGGACAAUGGGCGAAAGCCUGAUCCAGCAAUGCCGCGUGGGUGAUGAAGGCCUUAGGGGUUGUAAAAGCUCUUUUACCGGGAUGAUAAUGACAGUACCGGGAGAAUAAGCUCCGGCUAACUCCGUGCCAGCAGCCGC